GGCGCCCCACUCGGGGGGCUUGUGAGUGUGAGGCGCUGGCUGGGGUCCUUCCGAGGAGCUAGUGUGGGGCGCGUGACGGCCGGGGUCUGGCCGGGGCCCCACACGCCGCACUUGCCAUUAGAUGGGCUGAGAAGGGAACGGCGAAUCUUAACCUUUCACACCGAGGAAGCGGCUGCGGGAGACGAGGGACACCAGACGUCAAGUAACCUGACAUCCUCGGCCUUCGAAGAGAUUAGAUCAAGGAAUCUGGCCUGAUACGUUUACUGAAGAUCCGCUGGCGAACUCCUUAAAGAGAGACACAAGCAGAAUGAAAUGAAAACCAAAUCACUCCGCCUUCCAUCCUGUAAACCUCUUGGGAUUCCCAGAAGUUAGAUUAUUUGGUCUAUGACGCCAGAUGGCUUUGGAAUUUUGGAGAAGUAGUGUCCACUGGUCGUCUCGAGGAGCUGUAUUUCCAUACCUUCUCUGGCGAUGAUGUUUAUUUUUAUAAACUUUGUUAAUUUGAUAGGUCAAAUGAUCCUGAUUUCGAGAGACCCCAGACAAUCAGAUCAUAAAAAGCUGUGGAUUUAGAAGGAGCGUAUAGAGGGGCUGAAGAUAGCAUGCAGGAAAGUGAAGAAGUGAAUGGUCCUUGUACUAGUUAAGGUAUGAGGAGAAAUUAGCCCUCUUUUGCUUGGGUGACUGGAGAACUGUCUUCAAAUACUCUUCUGUCUCCGAAGUGGAUGGAGGAUUGACAGAUUCUGGCCCCAGAGACUAGAGGUUGGAGCAGUGGAUGGAAACAAAGCUGACCCAUUCACCAAGAGGUACAGAGGAGGUGACUCAUUGCCAGGAGGCACCAAGCAACUGCCUGGAAUUGAAACACCCUUGGCAGGAGUCACACCCCUUCCAGAGCUGCUGUAAAGGUGUCCCCUGGUCGUCUGAGGAGGAUGGAUGUGUGAACUGAGAUGGGCAUUUGCCAUCUGCCUCCACGUGGAUUAAAUCACGAGCCACCGAGGUGCAGCCCUAAAAACCGAACCUGAGUGGAGCUCAGGGUGGAGACCAGGAGGGAGGCCCUCUGUGCUCUGGGAAAACUGGAAGAGCAGGUCUUCAGAUAGUUAGAUACUUUUAGGAGAAGAUUUUAGAUGCAUACAUCUCGCAUCUCCUUGUAUCCAGAAAAACACGAAUAUCCUUCAUGGUGAUGUCUGCCCCUCGUGACUAGCGGUAACCUUCGCCCGCAGCAAAAUUUUGUGAAAUGUGUGUCUGGCUGCAGACCCCUCCCCCUCCCCUUUGACACAUGCCCUGAUAGUAUUUCCCCUUUCCUCUUUGGGGCAGUACAUCACCGCUGUCUGAAACGCUGCCUCCUUGGCUGCAGUUAAGUCCACGAAACAAAAAGAUGUCACAGUCAUCUGUGAGUGCAGCCACUCCCAAGGGUGAGCCAGUGAGUCCUGAGGGAGCUCGGGAAAGAAACAAAGAAAACUGGCCCCGGACGGCUGAGGUGCAGAGCAAAGGAGUGAUUCCAGUGAGCCCAGACAUUUGCAUCUGCCCAUAGAAAAGCCCUGACUUCCUUAACUCCAGAUAUCUGGUUUUCCGUCAUCUUUUGUUCUCACUCCCUUCCCUUUGUUGAAAAAAGCUCCUGUGCAUCCUAGCUCCUCCCUCAUCUCCUCAGAGCAGUUUCUCGGGGCUACCUGAGAUGCUGUGUCCUAGGCUUAAGUCCUCAUUUGGCCCCCAAUAAAACUUAACUGUCA
RNAcentral lists this long non-coding RNA (1718 nucleotides) under Sus scrofa (pig). Its description in RNAcentral is "lncRNA (ENSSSCG00030064904.1)". The record is from RNAcentral. Lineage: Eukaryota; Metazoa; Chordata; Mammalia; Artiodactyla; Suidae.